RNAcentral lists this ribosomal RNA (1085 nucleotides) under uncultured bacterium. RNAcentral describes it as "bacterial SSU rRNA". It matches the Rfam family "Bacterial small subunit ribosomal RNA", at positions 10 to 1089 of the family's 1533-position model. The record is from RNAcentral.
AGUUUGAUCCUGGCUCAAGAUGAACACUGGCUCGCUGCUUAACUCAUGCCAGUCAAACGGAACUGCUUGGAUGAAGUUUUCGGAUGGAUUUUAAACAGUUUAGUGGCGGACGGGUGAGUAACGCAGUGGGUAACCUGCCUCACACUGGGUGGAUAACAGUUCCAAAAUAUCGUGCUAAUACCGCAUAACCGCACAGCUCCGCGUGGGAAUAAUGUGAAAAACUCCCGUGGUGUGAGAUGGACCCGGGUUUGAUUAGCCAGUUGGCGGGGUAACGGCCCCCCCAAGCGACAAUCCGUAGCCGGCCUGAGAGGAUGAAUGGCCCCCUUGGGAAUGAGAUCCGGCUCAGACUUCUUCGGGAGGCAGCAGUGGGGAAUUUUGGCCAAUGGGGGACACCCUGACCCAGCAACGCCGCGUGAAGGAAGAAGGCCUUUGGGUUGUAAACUUUUAUUAGCAGGGAAGAAAAUGACGGUACCUGAAUGAGAAACCCCGGCUAAAUUCGUGCCAGCAGCCGCGGUAAUAAGUAGGGGGCAAGCGUUAUCCGGAUUUUCUGGGUGUAAAGGGAGGGUAGACGGCUGUGCAAGUUUGAAGUGAAAGCCCGGGGCUUCACCCCGGGUAUGCUCUGGAAACUGUGCAGCUAGAGUGUAGGAGAGGCAAGCGGAAUUCCCAGUGUAGCGGUGAAAUGCGUAGAUAUUAGGAGGAACACCAGUGGCGAAGGCGGCUUUCUGGACGAUGACUGACGUUGAGGCUCGAAAGCGUGGGGAGCAAACAGGAUUAGAUACCCUGGUAGUCCACGCCGUAAACGAUGACUACUAGGUGUCGGAGGUUACCCCUUUAGUCGCGGCAGCUAAGAGCAUUUAGUGCUCCGUUUGGGGAGUGUGCACCGAAGUGUGAAAAUCAACGGAAGUGUUGGGGAGCCGUACAAGUAGCGGAGCAUGUGGUUUUAUUCGUAGCGUCGCGUCGAUCUUUUCCUAGGCGUGACAUCUUUAUGACCGAGGGGUAAUCUUCUCUUUCCCUCCGGGGACAGAUGUGACAGGUGGUCCAUGGUCGUUGUUAGCUAGUGUUGUGUGAUGUUGGGGUAAGUCCCG